GACGAACGCUGGCGGCGUGCCUAAUACAUGCAAGUAGAACGCUGAAGGAGGAGCUUGCUCUUCUGGAUGAGUUGCGAACGGGUGAGUAACGCGUAGGUAACCUGCCUGGUAGCGGGGGAUAACUAUUGGAAACGAUAGCUAAUACCGCAUAACAGUAGAUGUUGCAUGACAUUUGCUUAAAAGGUGCAAUUGCAUCACUACCAGAUGGACCUGCGUUGUAUUAGCUAGUUGGUGGGGUAACGGCUCACCAAGGCGUCGAUACAUAGCCGACCUGAGAGGGUGAUCGGCCACACUGGGACUGAGACACGGCCCAGACUCCUACGGGAGGCAGCAGUAGGGAAUCUUCGGCAAUGGACGGAAGUCUGACCGAGCAACGCCGCGUGAGUGAAGAAGGUUUUCGGAUCGUAAAGCUCUGUUGUAAGAGAAGAACGAGUGUGAGAGUGGAAAGUUCACACUGUGACGGUAUCUUACCAGAAAGGGACGGCUAACUACGUG
This 495-nucleotide ribosomal RNA is filed under the name uncultured bacterium. RNAcentral's name for it is "partial 16S ribosomal RNA". It matches the Rfam family "Bacterial small subunit ribosomal RNA", at positions 28 to 507 of the family's 1533-position model. The record is from RNAcentral.